UGUCUGUAGUUGUGUUUGAAGGUCCUUGAACCAGCACAGGAUUGAACGUUACCUUUUUCGUUUUCCUUUUCUUCUCGCUGACUUCCUUAAUGUCUUUAAACAUCUCUUCCUCAUUGAAAAUCACGUUUCUGCUCAAUGUACAUCUUAGCUCUUCUGGUAACCACACUCGAUAACCUUUAGUCCCCUCUGGAUAUCCCAUGAAAACUCCUUUCAUUGCUCUUGGACUGGUUUUGGCCUGAGUCACGUGAACAUAAGCUGUAC
This 261-nucleotide long non-coding RNA is filed under the name Brassica napus (rape). Its description in RNAcentral is "long non-coding RNA (BNAP_LNC022602)". The record is from RNAcentral. Lineage: Eukaryota; Viridiplantae; Streptophyta; Magnoliopsida; Brassicales; Brassicaceae.